This 253-nucleotide ribosomal RNA is filed under the name uncultured bacterium. Its description in RNAcentral is "partial 16S ribosomal RNA". It matches the Rfam family "Bacterial small subunit ribosomal RNA", at positions 524 to 776 of the family's 1533-position model. The record is from RNAcentral.
UACGAGGGGGGCUAGCGUUGUGCGGAAUUACUGGGCGUAAAGCGCACGUAGGCGGAUAUUUAAGUCAGGGGUGAAAUCCCAGAGCUCAACUCUGGAACUGCCUUUGAUACUGGGUAUCUUGAGUAUGGAAGAGGUGAGUGGAAUUCCGAGUGUAGAGGUGAAAUUCGUAGAUAUUCGGAGGAACACCAGUGGCGAAGGCGGCUCACUGGUCCAUUACUGACGCUGAGGUGCGAAAGCGUGGGGAGCAAACAGG